Molecule: long non-coding RNA, 1501 nt
Filed under: Chinchilla lanigera (long-tailed chinchilla)
Lineage: Eukaryota; Metazoa; Chordata; Mammalia; Rodentia; Chinchillidae
Description: lncRNA (ENSCLAG00000026058.1)
Source: RNAcentral
AGGUAAAUAUCCUCAUUAAGUGACUUGUUCAAGGUCACGGGACAAACCAGAGGCGAGCAGCAGACCCAGGAGUGUGCUCUGCAGCUUUGGGGAUACACGCUCAUCACCGCAAUUCAGGGUUGUGAGAACUUCCUCGGUACGCUGCGGGUGAAAUUAAGUUGUCCGCGCCACAACUCUAGGACAGCAGGCGCGUCUGGGAAAAGCUGCUAUUUGAGGAAGUCGGUUUUAACUCCGACGAGCUUAUUAAGUCCUCGCAGCACCCCACUAGAGGGGGGCGAGCCGCAGGCACGGGGUGAGCUGCGAAAUACUGGAAAGGGCCGUAGCACGGCCUGGGAUUAUAAACGGACACCAGAGAAGCAGAAAACGGAAGUACGAGGAGGAGGUCAAAGUCGGGUCCGAGCGUCCGGGAGAACGGAAGAGCGGGCAGGACCACCUUCAGGGGAGAAAACCACCCGGCCUCUCCGGGCAGCCCCGGGUGGGCAGCGGCCGAGCCUGGAGGGCGGCCGCGCGUCCGGGGCCGUCCCACCCUCUCCGCGGACAGGGCUGGACGCCGGUGACCAGCAGCGGGCCAAAGGACAGCGGGUCCACUGCGGACGACUUCCCCGGAAGAGGGCCCGGAGGCCGGGCCCGCACUCACCGUGCGCCGGCCGCCUCGCUAGCGCCGGCCUGAGCGCCCGAGGCCCAUCGCCCACCGCCCGAGGGAGCCGCCGCAGUCGUUAUCCCGACGGAAGCCAGCCGGCUCGGCCUCUUUUCCCGAUUUGCAUUGCGUGGCGACGCGUCGCGUCUCUAGACGUCACGGCGGGGCGGGGCUUCGUGUGGGAGCCCUGGCCCCGCCCCUCUCCCUGUGAGGCGUUCGCAGCUGGACUAAACACUUCCGGGGCGGACUGCGAAGCUGGCCACAACUACAUCGGGCACCUCAGAACAACUCCAGGAGAUACUUGUUUUCACUGCCCCAGGUGACUCUGAGCCCCUGCAGUCAUCCUCAACCAAAUCUGUAAGGAGUUGCUCCUCUAGAUAGAGGCUGACACCAUGCAUGUGCUGUCACCACGCAUUUUAUUCUGUAUAAACAACUUCCCCCAUGCUUUAAUGGGUCGAUCUGUGCACGCUUCUUAUUGUACUCCAUAAGACCUAAUAAAGCUUCUUUCAGAUAGCAAUUUCUGUCUCUGUGGUUUCUAUCCUGAGCAGAGCAGGGUGAACUUGUGCACAGCAGGUAACCCCAAAGGCCACUGACACUGACAAUCAUAGCAGCUGGGGCUGGUGGCUCUGAGGGCAGCUAGUAGCCAGAAAACACAGAGAGCAGUGGUCACGGGAAGAGUUGCUAUGGGCUGCCAGCAGCUGCUCUUUCUAGCUCCCAAGAGAGUGAGGAGGCCCCCUAACACUAACAGCUAGUAGCCACUGGCUCUAAGGAUUGUUAACACUAAAAGCUCAGGGUUGUUAAUACUAAAAGAGCUACACUGCCUAACCAUGAUUUCUGUCUGAAUUGAGCCAAAGAACUCUCAGC